UACGUACUGUGCGAACGUUAUCCGGAAUCACUGGGCUUAAAGGGUGCGUAGGCGGCCUUUCAAGUCGGGUGUGAAAGUCCCCGGCCUAACCGGGGAAUUGCGCCCGAAACUAGAAGGCUUGAGUGCGCUAGGGGUGUGCGGAACUUCCGGUGGAGCGGUGAAAUGUGUUGAUAUCGGAAGGAACGCCGGUGGCGAAAGCGGCACACUGGGGCGCAACUGACGCUGAGGCACGAAAGCCAGGGGAGCGAACGGG
This 253-nucleotide unclassified non-coding RNA is filed under the name uncultured Planctomycetales bacterium. RNAcentral's name for it is "contains 16S-23S intergenic spacer region". It matches the Rfam family "Bacterial small subunit ribosomal RNA", at positions 524 to 776 of the family's 1533-position model. The record is from RNAcentral. Lineage: Bacteria; Pseudomonadati; Planctomycetota; Planctomycetia; Planctomycetales.